GUUGGUGAACCAGCGGAGGGAUCAUUACCGAGUUUACAACUCCCAAACCCCAAUGUGAACCUACCACACCGUUGCCUCGGCGGGAUCGCCCCGGGCGCGUCGCAGCCCCGGGCCAAGGCGCCCGCCGGAGGACUCCCAAAACUCCUGCAUACCGGACCGCCCAGCGGGCCGUUUUUUUACAACCUCUGAGAAUCUCUCGGCGCUCCCAGCGAGCGUUCCGAAACAAAUGAAUCAAAACUUUCAACAACGGAUCUCUUGGUUCUG
This 264-nucleotide unclassified non-coding RNA is filed under the name rhizosphere metagenome. RNAcentral describes it as "partial ribosomal RNA internal transcribed spacer region". The record is from RNAcentral.